GUUAAUAUCAUGGCAUCUGCUAUGUCUGGGCUCUCACAUGGCUGUUAUAAGAGCUUGUGUUUCCAGAAAACAAGACAACACUAUUCAAACUCUCAUCUUUUCAGUCAUCAUCAGUGUGUGAAAACAGGAUUCUUGAACUCAAAAUAUCCAUGUCUGACCUUUCUCUUGUGUGAGCAUAAGCCAAAACAAAGCAAGCCCUCGGUAAAUGUUAAGACAGAAAUUCUUUGAACAUUGCCGUGCAGAAGGCAGAUACUUCAUACCUGACCUGGCUUCUAGAAUUUAUGGUUGGAAUUACAGAGAUCUAAACUUUCCACAUUCUCAUUGUUGUGUUGUAUUAUGCUUCCUUUUAUUUUAAAUAGUGUAUAUAACUAUCAGGAAACAUCUCACUUGCCAUUUUCCUGAACAAUAGACAUCCAUAAG
This 420-nucleotide long non-coding RNA is filed under the name Mus spicilegus (steppe mouse). RNAcentral describes it as "lncRNA (ENSMSIG00000024017.1)". The record is from RNAcentral. Lineage: Eukaryota; Metazoa; Chordata; Mammalia; Rodentia; Muridae.